RNAcentral lists this ribosomal RNA (1317 nucleotides) under Fragillianassa debilis. RNAcentral describes it as "SSU rRNA". It matches the Rfam family "Eukaryotic small subunit ribosomal RNA", at positions 21 to 1308 of the family's 1831-position model. Lineage: Eukaryota; Metazoa; Arthropoda; Malacostraca; Decapoda; Callianassidae. The record is from RNAcentral.
AGUCAUAUGUUUGUCUCAAAGAUUAAGCCAUGCAUGUGUAAGUACACACCGACACAAGGUGAAACCGCGAAUGGCUCAUUAAAUCAGCUGUGGUUCAUUGGAUCUUAAACCCACUUACUUGGAUAACUGUGGUAAUUCUAGAGCUAAUACAUGCCUCCAGUCUCUGACCGCAAGGGAAGAGCGCUCUUAUUAGUCCAAAACCGGCCGGGCCCCGGUCCGCAAGCCGAAGGUGGUGAAUCUGAAUAAUUUUGACCUGAGCGCACGGUCUCCGCACCGGCGCCGUAUCUUUCAAGUGUCUGCCUUAUCAGCUUUCGACUGUAGGUUAUGUGCCUACAAUGGCUAUAACGGGUAACGGGGAAUCAGGGUUCGAUUCCGGAGAGGGAGCCUGAGAAACGGCUACCACAUCUAAGGAAGGCAGCAGGCACGCAAAUUACCCACUCCCGGCACGGGGAGGUAGUGACGAAAAAUAACGGUGCGAGACUCAUCCGAGGCCUCGCAAUCGGAAUGAGUACACUUUAAAUCCUUUAACGAGGAUCGAUUGGAGGGCAAGUCUGGUGCCAGCAGCCGCGGUAAUUCCAGCUCCAAUAGCGUAUAUUAAAGUUGUUGCGGUUAAAAAGCUCGUAGUUGGCACUCUGUUCCGGACUGACGGUGCACCGCCCGGUGUCUCUCCGUCACGCUCCGAACAGCAGGGCCGACCCUGCCCAGCCGGCUCGCACGGGGUGCUCUUCACCGAGUGUCCCUUGUGGCCGGCGAGUUUACUUUGAAAAAAUUAGAGUGCUCAAAGCAGGCUACGUGAACGGCCUGAAUGCUUGAUGCAUGGAAUAAUGGAAUAGGACCUCGGUUCUAUUUUGUUGGUUUUCGGAUCCAGAGGUAAUGACGAAUAGAAACAGGCGGGGGCAUUCGUACUGCGACGCUAGAGGUGAAAUUCUUGGACCGUCGCAAGACGAACUACUGCGAAAGCAUUUGCCAAGGAUGUUUUCAUUAAUCAAGAACGAAAGUUAGAGGUUCGAAGGCGAUCAGAUACCGCCCUAGUUCUAACCAUAAACGAUGCUGACCAGCGAUCCGCCGGCGUUAUUCCCAUGACCCGGCGGGCAGCUUCCGGGAAACCAAAGUCUUUGGGUUCCGGGGGAAGUAUGGUUGCAAAGCUGAAACUUAAAGGAAUUGACGGAAGGGCACCACCAGGAGUGGAGCCUGCGGCUUAAUUUGACUCAACACGGGGAACCUCACCAGGCCCGGACACCGGGAGGAUUGACAGAUUGAGAGCUCUUUCUCGAUUCGGUGGGUGGUGGUGCAUGGCCGUUCUUAGUUGGUGGAGCG